RNAcentral lists this ribosomal RNA (508 nucleotides) under uncultured Prevotella sp. Its description in RNAcentral is "bacterial SSU rRNA". It matches the Rfam family "Bacterial small subunit ribosomal RNA", at positions 10 to 507 of the family's 1533-position model. The record is from RNAcentral. Lineage: Bacteria; Pseudomonadati; Bacteroidota; Bacteroidia; Bacteroidales; Prevotellaceae.
AGUUUGAUCCUGGCUCAGGAUGAACGCUAGCUACAGGCUUAACACAUGCAAGUCGAGGGGAAACGAUGAGAGAGCUUGCUCUCUUAGGCGUCGACCGGCGCACGGGUGAGUAACGCGUAUCCAACCUGCCCAUUACAGGGGAAUAACCUUGCGAAAGUAAGACUAAUGCCCCAUGGUAUUCUCAGCAGACAUCUAAUGAGGAUUAAAGAUUUAUCGGUAAUGGAUGGGGAUGCGUCUGAUUAGCUUGUUGGCGGGGUAACGGCCCACCAAGGCAACGAUCAGUAGGGGUUCUGAGAGGAAGGUCCCCCACAUUGGAACUGAGACACGGUCCAAACUCCUACGGGAGGCAGCAGUGAGGAAUAUUGGUCAAUGGGCGAGAGCCUGAACCAGCCAAGUAGCGUGCAGGAAGACGGCCCUAUGGGUUGUAAACUGCUUUUAUAGGGGAAUAAAGUGAUCUACGUGUAGUUUAUUGUAUGUACCCUAUGAAUAAGGACCGGCUAAUUCCGUG